This 392-nucleotide ribosomal RNA is filed under the name uncultured bacterium. RNAcentral describes it as "partial 16S ribosomal RNA". It matches the Rfam family "Bacterial small subunit ribosomal RNA", at positions 523 to 918 of the family's 1533-position model. The record is from RNAcentral.
AUACGGAGGAUCCGAGCGUUAUCCGGAUUUAUUGGGUUUAAAGGGAGCGUAGGCGGACUAUUAAGUCAGCUGUGAAAGUUUGCGGCUCAACCGUAAAAUUGCAGUUGAUACUGGUCGUCUUGAGUGCAGUAGAGGUAGGCGGAAUUCGUGGUGUAGCGGUGAAAUGCUUAGAUAUCACGAAGAACUCCGAUUGCGAAGGCAGCUUACUGGACUGUAACUGACGCUGAUGCUCGAAAGUGUGGGUAUCAAACAGGAUUAGAUACCCUGUAGUCCACACAGUAAACGAUGAAUACUCGCUGUUUGCGAUAUACGGCAAGCGGCCAAGCGAAAGCAUUAAGUAUUCCACCUGGGGAGUACGCCGGCAACGGUGAAACUCAAAGGAAUUGACGGGG